RNAcentral lists this ribosomal RNA (253 nucleotides) under uncultured bacterium. RNAcentral's name for it is "partial 16S ribosomal RNA". It matches the Rfam family "Bacterial small subunit ribosomal RNA", at positions 524 to 776 of the family's 1533-position model. The record is from RNAcentral.
UACGAAGGGUGCUAGCGUUGUUCGGAAUGACUGGGCGUAAAGGGCGCGUAGGCGGCGUUAUAAGUUUGAUGUGAAAGUCCUGGGCUUAACCUGGGGAUUGCAUUGAAGACUGUAGUGCUAGAGUCCGCGAGAGGAAAACGGAAUUGUGCGUGUAGAGGUGAAAUUCGUAGAGAUGCACAAGAACACCAGUGGCGAAGGCGGUUUUCUGGAGCGGUACUGACGCUAAGGCGCGAAAGCGUGGGGAGCAAACAGG